GUUAUUCCUUUAAACAAACCUAAGAAUUUAAACAAAUACAGUACAAUAUUUAAAGGAUGGAUCAAGGUGGCUUUUUAUCCACAAUUAUCUUUAUAGCCGACUCAUAAGAAUAUAUAUUCGAAACAAGUCUAAAUACUAGGAAAACUUGAUGAAUACUAAUAGAAGCAUGCCGUUAACCUGAUUUUGGAAGAUAAUUCUACUCUCUGAAUCAUCUUUUCGAGAGUGAAUCCAUGUAUUAGCACUAAAGAAUAUAGGGCCUUCAUUAAAGUUAUGAACAACAAUCUCGCACAUAAGACUCCGCAACCUUUCCCGAUUUGGUAACUUCAAAACUGAGUUUGAACUUUGUAUUAACUAAAUUGAGUUGUAAAUACAAGCCUAGCAACUGAACACUUCUGGAUCAAAGAUUUGCUGGCAUCAACGAGUGGAACCUGCGACCGGAGACCUCAAACGGUGAUCUCAAACAAAACUCAAAUUAGAUGCUUUGAACAGAUCUCACCAGAUUCAACUCGGUUGAGCUCGAAUGAUAAUUUUGGACAUCACAAGAGUUGUUUAUGCUGGAAUUUGAUCUUUGGUCAUCGUUUGGUGGUUCGCCAGAUCCGUCACCUUCUGGCGUAACAAUAACGAUCAAAAAUUGCUUAGCAGAUGAGCUUCGUUUGGGUGGUGGACGGCUGGUCUAGAUUCGAAACAGAGAAGGUGGAAAAGGGUUGAAGAAGGAGAAAGGUCGCUGGUUGAGGGCUGGUGGUGGUUGUGGUCGUUUGGGGUCAGGUGAAGAAGCUCUUUUCCAUGUGAAGGAAGAUGAUCUCGCUGGUUUGGUUUUUGUCAAGAUAAUGAAGAAUGGCUGCUUCUCUUUGCAUAGAAUAUGACAUUUUUGGGUGUCUCCUUUUCGUUGAUUAGCGUUACUUUAUAGUUAGAGUCUAGAUUUAG
Molecule: long non-coding RNA, 924 nt
Filed under: Nicotiana benthamiana
Lineage: Eukaryota; Viridiplantae; Streptophyta; Magnoliopsida; Solanales; Solanaceae
Description: long non-coding RNA (NBEN_LNC037174)
Source: RNAcentral